UACAGAGGUCCCAAGCGUUGUUCGGAUUCACUGGGCGUAAAGGGUGCGUAGGCGGUCGGGUAAGUCUGAUGUGAAAUCUCCAAGCUUAACUUGGAAAUGGCAUUGGAUACUAUUCGGCUAGAGGGUUUGAGGGGGGACUGGAAUACUUGGUGUAGCAGUGAAAUGCGUAGAUAUCAGGAGGAACACCAAUUGCGAAGGCAGCUCGCUGGGACGUAACUGACGCUGAGGAGCGAAAGCGUGGGGAGCGAACAGG
This 253-nucleotide ribosomal RNA is filed under the name uncultured bacterium. RNAcentral's name for it is "partial 16S ribosomal RNA". It matches the Rfam family "Bacterial small subunit ribosomal RNA", at positions 524 to 776 of the family's 1533-position model. The record is from RNAcentral.